This 253-nucleotide ribosomal RNA is filed under the name uncultured bacterium. RNAcentral's name for it is "partial 16S ribosomal RNA". It matches the Rfam family "Bacterial small subunit ribosomal RNA", at positions 524 to 776 of the family's 1533-position model. The record is from RNAcentral.
GACAGAGGGUGCAAGCGUUAAUCGGAAUUAUUGGGCGUAAAGGGCUUGUAGGUUGCUAAGUGUGUCAAAUGUGAAAUACCCGGGCUUAACCUGGGGUCGUCGUUUGAAACUGCUUAGCUAGAGUGAGAUAGAGGAAAGCAGAAUUUCCGGUGUAGCAGUGAAAUGCGUAGGUAUCGGAAAGAAUACCAGUGGCGAAGGCGGCUUUCUGGAUCUUUACUGGCACUGAAAAGCGAAAGCGUGGGGAGCAAACAGG